GACGAACGCUGGCGGCGUGCUUAACACAUGCAAGUCGAACGGAAAGGCCCUGCUUUGGUGGGGUGCUCGAGUGGCGAACGGGUGGGUAACACGUGAGUAACCUGCCCUUGACUUUGGGAUAACUUCAGGAAACUGGGGCUACUUCCUGAUAGUAGAUCCUGCUGCAUGGUGGGGGUUGGAAAGUUUCGGCGGGUGGGGAUUGACUCGCUGGUGAUCGGCUGGUUGGUAGGGGAGUGGCUUACCAAGGCUUUGAAGGGUAGCCGGCCUGAGAGGGUGACCGGGCAAGUUGGGACUGAGCUACGGCCGAGAGUCCUAAGGGAGGCAGCAGUGGGGAAUAUUGCAUGAUGGGGGGAAGCCGGAUGCAGGAACGCUGCGUGCGGGAUUGUGGCCUUCGGGUUGUAGACCGCUUUCGCCUGUAACGAAGCGUUAGUGACGGUAACAGAUAAAGAAGCACCGGCUAACUACGUG
Molecule: ribosomal RNA, 468 nt
Filed under: uncultured bacterium
Lineage: Bacteria
Description: partial 16S ribosomal RNA
Rfam family: Bacterial small subunit ribosomal RNA
Source: RNAcentral